This is a long non-coding RNA of Thamnophis elegans (Western terrestrial garter snake), 738 nucleotides long. RefSeq lists it as uncharacterized. The record is from RefSeq and is a predicted model, not a curated record. Lineage: Eukaryota; Metazoa; Chordata; Lepidosauria; Squamata; Natricidae. The transcript is spliced from 3 exons.
CCGAGCCUGAAUGUAAAAGCUGAACACAGAAAGGAUAGUUGCAAUCUGCUCUUGCACAAACUCAAUUCAAACAGCUUAUUUUCACCUGAGGAUGUACAGACAUACACAGCUGAGAAAAAUACCUGUAACACUGGAAUGAAUUCCAGAAAAUGCAGCUGCAGUCUCAGAAAACACAGAGAUUCAAAUGUUGACUUCAGAAAUUCAAGGAGAAAGAAGAAUUGAACUGAUAUUUCAUUUCUCUGGGAGAAGACUGGAUGAUAACUUCCCACACUUUCACAGGCAAUCCUGGCAAAAUUAUUGUGACAGUUGAAAGAGAAUGAACUAUUGAGCAACAAUUAACUAUAUUUCAGAGGAUAGAGACAAAAAAUGUCAAGAUAGAGGCUACAAUCACCUAAGGGUGUCAAUAAGAAAGUAACCCCAACUGGUUCCCCACAGAGCUUAGGCCUCCUCCCCAACCUCUAUCAUCCAUUGCGUUCUUACCUUUUGAAGAUCUCCAGAGCUUUCCUCAGCACUCUACUGACUGUGUUAGGGAAUCAGAAUGGAACAAUUCAUUCACAGACAUGGGGCGGCCUCCUGGAAGUGGCCGCCAUUUCAGAGCAACUGCAAGUGAUUGUCGAUAGACAGAAAAUGACAGCUGUUUUUGGGAGGCAGUCACGCAACCAAGAGAUGAACUCCGGGAGAUGAAGCGCCGAAAGAGACGCCUAGAGCACCGAUGGAGAUCCAGUAAAUCCGAAUCGA